This 422-nucleotide ribosomal RNA is filed under the name uncultured bacterium. Its description in RNAcentral is "bacterial SSU rRNA". It matches the Rfam family "Bacterial small subunit ribosomal RNA", at positions 362 to 776 of the family's 1533-position model. The record is from RNAcentral.
UCCUCCGCAAUGGGCGAAAGCCUGAUCCAGCCAUGCCGCGUGUGUGAAGAAGGUCUUCGGAUUGUAAAGCACUUUAAGUUGGGAGGAAGGGCAGUAAACUAAUACUUUGCUGUUUUGACGUUACCGACAGAAUAAGCACCGGCUAACUCUGUGCCAGCAGCCGCGGUAAUACAGAGGGUGCAAGCGUUAAUCGGAAUUACUGGGCGUAAAGCGCGCGUAGGUGGUUUGUUAAGUUGGAUGUGAAAGCCCCGGGCUCAACCUGGGAACUGCAUUCAAAACUGACAAGCUAGAGUAUGGUAGAGGGUGGUGGAAUUUCCUGUGUGGCGGUGAAAUGCGUAGAUAUAGGAAGGAACACCAGUGGCGAAGGCGACCACCUGGACUGAUACUGACACUGAGGUGCGAAAGCGUGGGGAGCAAACAGG